RNAcentral lists this ribosomal RNA (465 nucleotides) under uncultured Klebsiella sp. Its description in RNAcentral is "bacterial SSU rRNA". It matches the Rfam family "Bacterial small subunit ribosomal RNA", at positions 338 to 795 of the family's 1533-position model. Lineage: Bacteria; Pseudomonadati; Pseudomonadota; Gammaproteobacteria; Enterobacterales; Enterobacteriaceae. The record is from RNAcentral.
CCUACGGGGGGCUGCAGUGGGGAAUAUUGCACAAUGGGCGCAAGCCUGAUGCAGCCAUGCCGCGUGUGUGAAGAAGGCCUUCGGGUUGUAAAGCACUUUCAGCGGGGAGGAAGGCGGUGAGGUUAAUAACCUCAUCGAUUGACGUUACCCGCAGAAGAAGCACCGGCUAACUCCGUGCCAGCAGCCGCGGUAAUACGGAGGGUGCAAGCGUUAAUCGGAAUUACUGGGCGUAAAGCGCACGCUGGCGGUCUGUCAAGUCGGAUGUGAAAUCCCCGGGCUCAACCUGGGAACUGCAUUCGAAACUGGCAGGCUAGAGUCUUGUAGAGGGGGGUAGAAUUCCAGGUGUAGCGGUGAAAUGCGUAGAGAUCUGGAGGAAUACCGGUGGCGAAGGCGGCCCCCUGGACAAAGACUGACGCUCAGGUGCGAAAGCGUGGGGAGCAAACAGGAUUAGAUACCCCAGUAGUC